Corynebacterium kroppenstedtii DSM 44385 is the source of this 73-nucleotide transfer RNA. It matches the Rfam family "tRNA". From Rfam's summary of the family: Transfer RNA (tRNA) molecules are approximately 80 nucleotides in length. Their secondary structure includes four short double-helical elements and three loops (D, anti-codon, and T loops). Further hydrogen bonds mediate the characteristic L-shaped molecular structure. tRNAs have two regions of fundamental functional importance: the anti-codon, which is responsible for specific mRNA codon recognition, and the 3' end, to which the tRNAs corresponding amino acid is attached (by aminoacyl-tRNA synthetases). tRNAs cope with the degeneracy of the genetic code in two manners: having more than one tRNA (with a specific anti-codon) for a particular amino acid; and 'wobble' base-pairing, i.e. permitting non-standard base-pairing at the 3rd anti-codon position. The record is from Rfam. Lineage: Bacteria; Bacillati; Actinomycetota; Actinomycetes; Mycobacteriales; Corynebacteriaceae.
GGGGCGUUAGCUCAAUUGGUAGAGCACUUGCUUUGCAAGCAAGAGGUCACGAGUUCGAUUCUCGUACGCUCCA